CCAGGAGCUGACACUCUCCCUGUAACCCCUGGCAGGUCUGUGUGCAGGUAAAUGCUGGGGUUUCUGGUUAUACUCAGCUUUGUAACCAUACUCAGUACUGAUCUCUGGUGUGGCCGCUUUCUCCUUGAUUUCUCUGUUUCCCUCAUUCCGGGGCAGGAUAUCGCGGCCGGAGCUCCGUCUGAGGUCUCUGUUUUCUUCCAGUUAGACCCGGACAGUCCCAGAGGCAGCUGCCGAGGGCCCUGAUCUGGUCGAGGGGCCAACACUCCAUCCUCAGUAACCCGGAAGCUGAUAGGGAGGCGUCUGAGCGCCAAACGCGGUGACCCAGGAAAGAGUCCGGUUUAGGACUGAACAUGGACAAGGAUCCGGUGGCUGAGAAGAUCUUGAGCCUCACCCUGGAGAUCAUCUCCCUGCUGAGCGGAGAGGAUUAUAUGAUUGUGAGGAAGCCCAGUGACUGCGUCCCACCCAACGACGGCCCCCGUG
This is a long non-coding RNA of Spea bombifrons (plains spadefoot toad), 480 nucleotides long. RefSeq lists it as uncharacterized. The transcript has 3 exons. NCBI's taxonomy places the organism in Eukaryota, Metazoa, Chordata, Amphibia, Anura, Pelobatidae. The record is from RefSeq and is a predicted model, not a curated record.